Molecule: ribosomal RNA, 254 nt
Filed under: uncultured bacterium
Lineage: Bacteria
Description: partial 16S ribosomal RNA
Rfam family: Bacterial small subunit ribosomal RNA
Source: RNAcentral
UACAGAGGGUGCAAGCGUUAAUCGGAAUUAUUGGGCGUAAAGCGCAUGUAGGUGGUUUGUUAAGUUUGAUGUGAAAGCCCUGGGCUUAACCUGGGAAUGGCAUUGGAUACUGGCAGACUAGAGUCGGACAGAGGGCCGUGGAAUUUCCGGUGUAGCGGUGAAAUGCGUAGGAGAUCGGAAAGAACAUCGAUGGCGAAGGCAGCGGCCUGGGUCCAGACUGACACUGAGGUGGCGAAAGCGUGGGGAGCAACAGG